CCUACGGGAGGCAGCAGUGAGGAAUAUUGGUCAAUGGACGAGAGUCUGAACCAGCCAAGUAGCGUGAAGGAUGACUGCCCUAUGGGUUGUAAACUUCUUUUAUAAAGGAAUAAAACGAGGCACGUGUGCCUGUUUGCAUGUACUUUAUGAAUAAGGAUCGGCUAACUCCGUGCCAGCAGCCGCGGUAAUACGGAGGAUCCGAGCGUUAUCCGGAUUUAUUGGGUUUAAAGGUAGCGUAGAUGGGUUGUUAAGUCAGUUGUGAAAGUUUGCGGCUCAACCGUAAAAUUGCAAUUGAUACUGGCAGUCUUGAGUACAGUUGAGGUAGGCGGAAUUCGUGGUGUAGCGGUGAAAUGCUUAGAUAUCACGAAGAACCCCGAUUGCGAAGGCAGCUUACUAAACUGUGACUGACAUUGAUGCUCGAAAGUGUGGGUAUCAAACAGGAUUAGAUACCCUAGUAGUC
RNAcentral lists this ribosomal RNA (460 nucleotides) under uncultured bacterium. RNAcentral describes it as "partial 16S ribosomal RNA". It matches the Rfam family "Bacterial small subunit ribosomal RNA", at positions 338 to 795 of the family's 1533-position model. The record is from RNAcentral.